RNAcentral lists this ribosomal RNA (783 nucleotides) under Teredus cylindricus. RNAcentral describes it as "partial 16S ribosomal RNA". The stretch from base 1 to 571 matches the Rfam family "Bacterial large subunit ribosomal RNA", at positions 1840 to 2925 of the family's 2925-position model. The record is from RNAcentral. Lineage: Eukaryota; Metazoa; Arthropoda; Insecta; Coleoptera; Bothrideridae.
UAAUAAUUUAAAGUCUGGCCUGCCCACUGAUGAAUUAUUAAAGGGCCGCGGUAAUUUGACCGUGCAAAGGUAGCAUAAUCAAUAGUUUUUUAAUUAAAAGCUGGAAUGAAUGGUUGAAUAAGAAAAAUACUGUCUCAAGUUAAUUUAAUUAGAAUUUUAUUUUUAAGUUAAAAAGCUUAAAUUUAAUUAAAAGACGAGAAGACCCUAUAGAGUUUUAUAUUUAAAUAAAUUUAUUUAUUUAGAAUUAUUAAAGUAAAUUUAAAUAAAGUAUUUGAUUGGGGUGAUUAAAAAAUUAAAUAAACUUUUUUUUUAUUUAAACAUUAAUGAAUGAAUAUUUGAUCCAUUAAUUAUGAUUAUAAGAUUAAAUUACCUUAGGGAUAACAGCGUAAUUUUUUUUUAGAGUUCUUAUCAAAAGAAAAGAUUGCGACCUCGAUGUUGGAUUAAAAUUAAUAUUUGGUGAAGAAGCUAAAUUAUUAGGUCUGUUCGACCUUUAAAAUUUUACAUGAUCUGAGUUUAAACCGGUGUAAGCCAGGUUGGUUUCUAUCUUUAAUAAAAUAUUAUAUUUUAGUACGAAAGGACCAAAUAUAAAAUUAAUAAUUUAAAAUUUGAAUAUUAGUAUUAUUUUGGCAGAGUAGUGCAAUAGAUUUAGAAUCUUUAUAUGUAAUUUUACAAAUAAUACUUGUUUUUAAUUGAAUAUUUAUUAUUUUUUUUAUCGUUUUUAAUUUUAGUUAUUAUAGUUUUAGUAGGAGUAGCAUUUUUGACUUUAUUGGAACGUAAAGUUUU